Molecule: ribosomal RNA, 389 nt
Filed under: uncultured bacterium
Lineage: Bacteria
Description: bacterial SSU rRNA
Rfam family: Bacterial small subunit ribosomal RNA
Source: RNAcentral
GACGAACGCUGGCGGCGUGCUUAACACAUGCAAGUCGAGCGGUAAGGCCCUUUCGGGGGUACGACGAGCGGCGAACGGGUGAGUAACACGUGGGUGACCUGCCCUCAGCUCUGGGAUAAGCCUGGGAAACCGGGUCUAAUACCGGAUAUGACUCCAUGACGCAUGUUGUGGGGUGGAAAGCCUUGUGCGGCUGAGGAUGGGCCCGCGGCCUAUCAGCUUGUCGGUGGGGUGAUGGCCUACCAAGGCGACGACGGGUAGCCGGCCUGAGAGGGCGACCGGCCACACUGGGACUGAGACACGGCCCAGACUCCUACGGGAGGCAGCAGUGGGGAAUCUUGCGCAAUGGGCGAAAGCCUGACGCAGCGACGCCGCGUGAGGGAUGACGGCCU